Macaca mulatta (Rhesus monkey) is the source of this 3119-nucleotide non-coding RNA. The record is from RefSeq and is a predicted model, not a curated record. NCBI's taxonomy places the organism in Eukaryota, Metazoa, Chordata, Mammalia, Primates, Cercopithecidae.
AGAGAGAACCUAAUCCUGCGUGCGUUUGAGGGCGGGAGGGGAUAGGGUGUCAGAAACGUUCACUGCACAACCUGUUCCCUGCAAUUCGAUGACUGAAGCCGGCCGCCCCACAUUUCCACACUUGGGAAGGGCCGAUGGCGAGGUGACGUGACCUCUUUCAUCCCCUGGCGAGAGAGGCCGAAAGACCCGGGCUCCCGCCGCGGAGCGGAGCCUGCAGCUGUUGAGCGAGACUCUCCCAGAACUAUCAGCAAGCUGUCACCGCCUCCCUUUCCCGCCGUGGGGUGGGGGGUGGGGGACUCAAGUCGAUUCCAAUGUACAAAGAGAAGUAGCGAGAACAAAAGCCCAGGCGCCCCCAAACAUCCAGGGCGCCCAGACUGGAGCUCGCGGGCCGGUAUUCCAGACGCGGCCGGCUUGCCUGGGUUAGGGUGGGGUCUGGGGACAGGCAGAGAUCAGCGGAGGGUCUGUCCACAUGCCCCACUCUCCGGGUUCCAAGGUCUCGCGGCCUGACCUCCGAGUUUCUAAUCCGGAUCCCUUCAGAUGCCGAAACGUCGAGGGCUAGCAAUUCCCAAGGUCACACAGCAAGUGAAGGACAGGGCUUGGACUGGAAUCUCGUCUUUUGGGCACACCAAACCUCAGGGAAAGUGACCGCAUUUCGGCCAAAAGGGCUGUGGCAGGUGUCAGCCUCGAGUGGCGGCUCUGGUGGGACCAAGCUGCGCCGGAAGGAACAGAGCGAGGGCGGCACCCGCGCUGCGAGUGUAGACAUACUCAGAGCGGUCACCUCCUCGCUGCGAGCUCCCAGGAGCAACCCUGAUGCUCAGCGCGGCGGGGUGGGGAUGAGGGGCGCUCAGCUCCACGCUGAGUAACUUGAGCUGGCCGCCUGCCUCCUUCAUCUAACUCUUUCAUUUCUUAGCUUCUGUUUCAGAGCCACUCCACUGAGUGCUCGGGUGAAAACGCGUGUUCAAGAUCAUAUAGAUAGAUGAAAAGACCCUUUCCUCUCAGGUUUCUUUUAAAGGGAGAGGUUUGGGAUAGGGUGAGACUGGAAAUCAUCCUUCUGAAAGCCCAGAGUGCCCUUGGGGACACUUUUGGCCCAAGAUCUGCUUUCCUUUCAAGCAUUUCGCUUGAAUUGUCCCCACACCCCCGCCCCUUCCGGGCAGCCAUUCUUGUUAACCGGUCUGCAUCCCACCCCACCCCCACUGGAAUUGUGAUGCUGCACAUUUUUAUUUUCACAAGAAGCUGAUUUUGUGUUAAAAUGUUGACAACAGUCACACCUUUCCCUAAAGUCUUUCAAUUUAUCUGAUAACCCUUAAGUAAAAAAAAAAAAAAAAUCAUUCUUAAUCCAUGUAGUUCGCAAGAAGAGACUGGUACCCGGCUUUCAAAGAAAAAAAAAAGUCGUUCUUAGUUGGGUCCCCAGCAUUUCUGUUUAUUCAUUAUAUGCAGUGCUUCUCAAUCUAGGUCAUCGUAUAACAGGCACGAAGAUUUGGGGGCAACAUAUUUCAUGAUCUCUUAAUGUUAGUCUUAAUGAUGUAUUAACAUUUAAAAAUUUUCCCUUCCAGAGACAAUUGUAGAAAUAUCGCUGCAUAAAAUACAAUUCAACAUUUGUUUUACACAUAACCUAUUGCGCAACUGAAGUGAGCAAGAUAUCCCUUAAACUAUUAAAAUUAAUAUUUGCUUUCACAAUUUUCAGAUUAUUUUCAACGGCACGUCCUCAAGUGAAUUUGCAUUUCUCUAUUACACACACAAGUCAUUGUUUGAAGAAGUCAGAGAGAAAGGGGGCUUUACAUAGUAGUAAAUUUUUAAAGCAUUGUUUUCAUAAUGCAAUAUAUAUUUUUGACACAGUUAUUGAAAUUACUAGACAUUUAGCAUUAGGGUUCUUCACUGCUUGCCGGGAUUCACCGCUUGAAACCCAAAAAACCCAGCCUGCAGCCCCCAUAGCAGGCUCUGCAGUCGAGAUGCACGCGGUUUCCUAGGCAACCAACACUUAGCCAAUGAAUGAAGAGGAGUUGAAAGAAAGAGGCUGCAAAUCCAUCAUUAUUUCCUUCACACACACACACACACACACACACACACACCACCUCUUCUCAUAGCUCUCCAUUUAGAAAUAUUGGAAAGCUACCAAUCCUAACAUUUAUGUGAAAGAGCCAAAUGCCCGGGGCAUGGGGGCUAGGAAGCGGUCGCAGCCCCAUACUGUGACUGCGGAAAGGACACAGUGGAGGAGGCUCCCGGAAUCCGCCAAAAUCUGCGCCUUCUCAGCUUUGUCGCUCCCCAGUUUCUAUUCCACUGCCCUCCCCCUUCCCCCCAGGCCUUCCCUCCUCCUCCUGGGAAGCGAGAGGCCCGGGCGGAGCUGCCCGGCACUCUUGAAUGGCAGGGGCUGUGGGGUGGCAGCCCCAGAGCCCUGUCCUUCCGCAGCCGUGGGCCCCGCAGGGACCAGCCAAGCAAGGUAACCAAAAGCUGGACCCAGCAGCGGAAACCCCGAGCCCACGAACGCGGCGCAGUGCGGGAACACUUGCCCUUUGUUCCUCGCAGUGACAGAGCAAAGCCGGAGAGAGAGAGGAGCACUGAGGUUUUGACACAUGUAUAGCCAGUGAAACCAUCCUUACAAUCCAGAUUUAGAAAUUUGCCAUGCCAGCCAGGCCUGGAACUCUCCACCGGUAGGUAACUUUGUUUCCUUAAUCUUUGGGUCCUCCUAGCUGAUGAAGAGCUAUCUAUUUUGGUCCCUCAGAUCACAGUGUAAAGGGAUAAACAACCAUGUUAUAGCCAUACAAUGGAACACUGCUAAGCAAUACAAGGACACAAGCUAUUGACACGCACGCAGAUGAACCCAAGAUAAUUAUGAUGAAGGAAAGAAGCCGGACAAAAAACAGUACUUACUGUGUGAUUCCACUGAUAUAAAACUCCGGAAAAUGCAAGCUAAUCUAUGUGGCCGGAAGCAGAUCAGUGGUUGGGGGCAGGAGUGAUUACGGAGGGCAGGAGGGGUACUGGAUGUGUUCAGUCUGUGGAUUGUGAUGAUGAUUUCACUGGUUAUAACAUGUGUCAAGACUUCAAUUUGUACACUUUGUAUGCGUGCAGUUAUUGUAUGUUAAUCACAUUUUAAUAAAGCUGUUAAAAUAUUGACCUGAAAA